Molecule: long non-coding RNA, 316 nt
Filed under: Triticum aestivum (bread wheat)
Lineage: Eukaryota; Viridiplantae; Streptophyta; Magnoliopsida; Poales; Poaceae
Description: long non-coding RNA (TAES_LNC001289)
Source: RNAcentral
UGAAGAUCCAUGCCUUGAAUGUCCUCCAUUUUCAUAUCUUUCUGAUCCAAAUGUUUUGGUCGAGGUCUCAGUUAGUUGUGCUAUCAAUGUAUUCCAGAAACAUAGUUUUGUUAACGAUCUGGGGUUAGGAAGUUUGAUGGAGAUGGCAAUGAACGUGAACAAUGUUAAAGUUUUGAGCAUUUAAAUUAUGAACCUCUGCUCGUUUAUCUUGUUGCACUUGAUUGUCAUUUCUAAUUGUUCAACAUCUCUGCCUAGUCACUGCAAUUCCCUAUUGCAUAUCGAAUCGUUUGCCUGUUAUGUCAUAUGUUUGUGCUCU